This 465-nucleotide ribosomal RNA is filed under the name Vreelandella stevensii. RNAcentral describes it as "partial 16S ribosomal RNA". It matches the Rfam family "Bacterial small subunit ribosomal RNA", at positions 338 to 795 of the family's 1533-position model. Lineage: Bacteria; Pseudomonadati; Pseudomonadota; Gammaproteobacteria; Oceanospirillales; Halomonadaceae. The record is from RNAcentral.
CCUACGGGGGGCAGCAGUGGGGAAUAUUGGACAAUGGGGGGAACCCUGAUCCAGCCAUGCCGCGUGUGUGAAGAAGGCCCUCGGGUUGUAAAGCACUUUCAGUGAGGAAGAACGCCUGGUGGUUAAUACCCAUCAGGAAAGACAUCACUCACAGAAGAAGCACCGGCUAACUCCGUGCCAGCAGCCGCGGUAAUACGGAGGGUGCGAGCGUUAAUCGGAAUUACUGGGCGUAAAGCGCGCGUAGGUGGCUUGAUAAGCCGGUUGUGAAAGCCCCGGGCUCAACCUGGGAACGGCAUCCGGAGCUGUCAAGCUAGAGUGCAGGAGAGGAAGGUAGACUUCCCGGUGUAGCGGUGAAAUGCGUAGAGAUCGGGAGGAAUACCAGUGGCGAAGGCGGCCUUCUGGACUGACACUGACACUGAGGUGCGAAAGCGUGGGUAGCAAACAGGAUUAGAUACCCUAGUAGUC